CCUACGGGUGGCUGCAGUGGGGAAUAUUGCACAAUGGGCGAAAGCCUGAUGCAGCAACGCCGCGUGAAGGAAGAAGGGUUUCGGCUCGUAAACUUCUAUCAACAGGGACGAAAGAAAUGACGGUACCUGAAUAAGAAGCCCCGGCUAACUACGUGCCAGCAGCCGCGGUAAUACGUAGGGGGCAAGCGUUAUCCGGAUUUAUUGGGUUUAAAGGGUGCGUAGGCGGGACCUUAAGUCAGCGGUAAAAUUGCGGUGCUCAACGCCGUAGAGCCGUUGAAACUGGGGCUCUUGAGUGAGCGAGAAGUAUGCGGAAUGCGUGGUGUAGCGGUGAAAUGCAUAGAUAUCACGCAGAACCCCGAUUGCGAAGGCAGCAUACCGGCGCUCAACUGACGCUGAGGCACGAAAGUGCGGGUAUCGAACAGGAUUAGAUACCCCUGUAGUC
RNAcentral lists this ribosomal RNA (442 nucleotides) under uncultured bacterium. RNAcentral describes it as "partial 16S ribosomal RNA". It matches the Rfam family "Bacterial small subunit ribosomal RNA", at positions 338 to 795 of the family's 1533-position model. The record is from RNAcentral.